Molecule: non-coding RNA, 45 nt
Organism: Schistosoma mansoni
Lineage: Eukaryota; Metazoa; Platyhelminthes; Trematoda; Strigeidida; Schistosomatidae
Source: Rfam
AUCCAGCCGAUGAGUCCCGAAUAGGACAAAACGUGCGUCCUGUAU